AUUGAACGCUGGCGGCAGGCCUAACACAUGCAAGUCGAGCGGAUGAAGGGAGCUUGCUCCUGGAUUCAGCGGCGGACGGGUGAGUAAUGCCUAGGAAUCUGCCUGGUAGUGGGGGAUAACGUCCGGAAACGGGCGCUAAUACCGCAUACGUCCUGAGGGAGAAAGUGGGGGAUCUUCGGACCUCACGCUAUCAGAUGAGCCUAGGUCGGAUUAGCUAGUUGGUGGGGUAAAGGCCUACCAAGGCGACGAUCCGUAACUGGUCUGAGAGGAUGAUCAGUCACACUGGAACUGAGACACGGUCCAGACUCCUACGGGAGGCAGCAGUGGGGAAUAUUGGGCAAUGGGCGAAAGCCUGAUCCAGCCAUGCCGCGUGUGUGAAGAAGGUCUUCGGAUUGUAAAGCACUUUAAGUAGGGAGGAAGGGCAGUAAGUUAAUACCUUGCUGUUUUGACGUUACCAACAGAAUAAGCACCGGCUAACUUCGUG
RNAcentral lists this ribosomal RNA (484 nucleotides) under uncultured bacterium. RNAcentral describes it as "partial 16S ribosomal RNA". It matches the Rfam family "Bacterial small subunit ribosomal RNA", at positions 30 to 507 of the family's 1533-position model. The record is from RNAcentral.